UACGUAGGUGACAAGCGUUAUCCGGAAUUACUGGGCGUAAAGCGCACGCAGGCGGCUGCGUAAGUCUGACGUGAAAUCUCCCGGCUUAACCGGGAGCGGUCGUUGGAAACUAUGCGGCUUGAGGCGAUGAGAGGGGUGUGGAAUUCCCGGUGUAGUGGUGGAAUGCGUAGAUAUUGGGAGGAACACCAGUGGCGAAGGCGGCUACCUGGACCGGUUCUGACGCUGAUGCGCGAAAGCGUGGGUAGCAAACAGG
This 253-nucleotide ribosomal RNA is filed under the name uncultured bacterium. Its description in RNAcentral is "partial 16S ribosomal RNA". It matches the Rfam family "Bacterial small subunit ribosomal RNA", at positions 524 to 776 of the family's 1533-position model. The record is from RNAcentral.